This 675-nucleotide ribosomal RNA is filed under the name Entoloma sp. MLB-2010. RNAcentral describes it as "eukaryotic LSU rRNA". It matches the Rfam family "Eukaryotic large subunit ribosomal RNA", at positions 1 to 653 of the family's 3401-position model. Lineage: Eukaryota; Fungi; Basidiomycota; Agaricomycetes; Agaricales; Entolomataceae. The record is from RNAcentral.
UUGACCUCAAAUCAGGUAGGACUACCCGCUGAACUUAAGCAUAUCAAUAAGCGGAGGAAAAGAAACUAACAAGGAUUCCCCUAGUAACUGCGAGUGAAGCGGGAAAAGCUCAAAUUUAAAAUCUGGUAGUCUCUGGCUGCCCGAGUUGUAAUCUAGAGAAGUGUUAUCCGCGCUGGACCGUGUACAAGUCUCCUGGAAUGGAGCGUCAUAGAGGGUGAGAAUCCCGUCUUUGACACGGACUGCCAGGGCUUUGUGAUGCGCUCUCAAAGAGUCGAGUUGUUUGGGAAUGCAGCUCUAAAUGGGUGGUAAAUUCCAUCUAAAGCUAAAUAUUGGCGAGAGACCGAUAGCGAACAAGUACCGUGAGGGAAAGAUGAAAAGAACUUUGGAAAGAGAGUUAAACAGUACGUGAAAUUGUUGAAAGGGAAACGCUUGAAGUCAGUCGCGUUGGCCAGGGAUCAACCUUGCUUUUCUGCUUGGUGUACUUUCUGGUUGAUGGGUCAGCAUCAAUUUUGAUCAGUGGAAAAAGAUCAAGGGAAUGUGGCAUCUUCGGAUGUGUUAUAGCCCUUGGUUGCAUACAUUGGUUGGGAUUGAGGAACUCAGCAUGCCUGUAAAGGCCGGGUCUUUUGACCACGUUCGUGCUUAGGAUGCUGGCAUAAUGGCUUUAAUCGACCCGUC